CCGCCUUACUUAAACCUGGGGCGGCAGGUAGCCAGCCUAGUGGUUAAGAGCAAUGGGAUCAGUAACUGAUUCAACUAGGUGAAAAAUCUGUCGCGCUGCCCUUGAGCAAACCCUAAUUGGUCCUGUAAGACAUUCUGGAUAAGAGCAUCUGCUAAAUGAUUUAAAUUUUAAAUGUAAUCAUUAUUUCAAACAGUUUCUGUUGGAGAGAUUUAAGGACACUGCAUUACUGGCCUUAGGCUCUGCAUGGUCAAUCUGACAUUGCAGUGGCUGUACAGAAGUUGAAGAGCGCAUACGUCUUGUGCUUAGGAGCGCUGUCCUAAACAUCCAAUAAUUUCGUCUGCACCGCUUCACUCGUAGUGAUUCAGGGCUAAUCUUGAUAGCCAUCCAGCUAAUUACAAACAACUAGCUAAAAGACAAGACCUUACCUCAUCUGAGAUGUGGCGUCAGUUUCCUGGUGCUUGACGUAAGAGCUCACCCAAGAGCGCAUGAAGUAGGAGGACUGCACCGUUUUCCCACCAGCAUCCCAUCGCAAAUCUAACCAUUGCUCCCCAGAAAAACUAGCCUACAUUUAGGCUGUUUAUAUGUGUAUUUCACAUGUUGAGGUAGAAAUAGGAGUAUAAUGCUUGUACGGAUGUCAACUCCAAUACAUGUUCAUGUCAUUAAUCAACUGCAUUACAGGUUGUUGUUUUUUAACUACAGUUAACUACCAACACCUAUUUCUGUAUGCUAGCUAUGCUACCAGUUUAUACGAAUGGGAGUUAGCAUUUGUAGUCACUUUUAAAUCUGGAAAAACUUCUAAAUGUUACGCAUCAAAAACAGCCAAGUAUAUCCAAAUCGGAUUUUGACAAAUAUCCACUGUUAACGUGGAUUUAACGUUUAUUUAACUCCAUUGAUUUCUUUAUCGCAUCUAUCCCCAUUGUCUUCCCGAUCUCUUUCCAGUAGUUCAAACAAAUUGUCGUCUUUGAAAUCCCUAAACAAGGUAUCAUAAAGAUCUUUUUUCUGGUAGCCUUUCCUCAAAAUAAUCAAUUUAAGGUAGUGAGUUUCUGUUUAUACGAGAGUUUGUUUGUUUAUAAAGCAUGUAUCACCA
Long non-coding RNA from Oncorhynchus tshawytscha (Chinook salmon), 1087 nucleotides. RefSeq lists it as uncharacterized. The transcript has 2 exons. The record is from RefSeq and is a predicted model, not a curated record. NCBI's taxonomy places the organism in Eukaryota, Metazoa, Chordata, Actinopteri, Salmoniformes, Salmonidae.